This 482-nucleotide ribosomal RNA is filed under the name Bacillus sp. enrichment culture clone A5f. RNAcentral's name for it is "bacterial SSU rRNA". It matches the Rfam family "Bacterial small subunit ribosomal RNA", at positions 62 to 529 of the family's 1533-position model. Lineage: Bacteria; Bacillati; Bacillota; Bacilli; Caryophanales; Bacillaceae. The record is from RNAcentral.
AUGAGCGGACAGAAGGGAGCUUGCUCCCGGAUGUUAGCGGCGGACGGGUGAGUAACACGUGGGUAACCUGCCUGUAAGACUGGGAUAACUCCGGGAAACCGGAGCUAAUACCGGAUAGUUCCUUGAACCGCAUGGUUCAAGGAUGAAAGACGGUUUCGGCUGUCACUUACAGAUGGACCCGCGGCGCAUUAGCUAGUUGGUGAGGUAACGGCUCACCAAGGCGACGAUGCGUAGCCGACCUGAGAGGGUGAUCGGCCACACUGGGACUGAGACACGGCCCAGACUCCUACGGGAGGCAGCAGUAGGGAAUCUUCCGCAAUGGACGAAAGUCUGACGGAGCAACGCCGCGUGAGUGAUGAAGGUUUUCGGAUCGUAAAGCUCUGUUGUUAGGGAAGAACAAGUGCAAGAGUAACUGCUUGCACCUUGACGGUACCUAACCAGAAAGCCACGGCUAACUACGGCCAGCAGCCGCGGAAUACGAG